RNAcentral lists this ribosomal RNA (468 nucleotides) under uncultured bacterium. RNAcentral's name for it is "partial 16S ribosomal RNA". It matches the Rfam family "Bacterial small subunit ribosomal RNA", at positions 28 to 507 of the family's 1533-position model. The record is from RNAcentral.
GACGAACGCUGGCGGCGUGCUUAACACAUGCAAGUCGAACGGAAAGGCCCUGCUUUUGUGGGGUGCUCGAGUGGCGAACGGGUGAGUAACACGUGAGUAACCUGCCCUUGACUUUGGGAUAACUUCAGGAAACUGGGGCUAAUACCGGAUAGGAGCUCCUGCUGCAUGGUGGGGGUUGGAAAGUUUCGGCGGUUGGGGAUGGACUCGCGGCUUAUCAGCUUGUUGGUGGGGUAGUGGCUUACCAAGGCUUUGACGGGUAGCCGGCCUGAGAGGGUGACCGGACACACUAGGACUGAGAUGCGGCCCAGACUCCUACGGUAGGCAGCAGAGGAGAAUAGUGCACAAGGCGCGGAAGCCUGAUGCAGCAACGCCGCGUGCGGGAAGACGGCAUUCGGGUUGUAAACCGCAUUCGCCUGUGACGAAGCGUGAGUGACGGUAAUGGGUAAAGAAGCACCGGCUAACUACGUG